UAAACGGCAAAAAAGUGGAGCAGUAAUCAGUCGGGUUAUAUUACAGAGAGCCAUGUUAUCUGAGAAAUGGUAUUGAUUCAUUGAUGAAAGUAGCCACGGAGCUGGCAAUGCAAGUUAAAACGAGUGUUGCAUGGGUGCACCCAUUAUAGUGCUAGCGUAUUUUUGUACGUGAAGUGGUAUUGUGCAAACAAUACAAUUUAGGGUGGUACCGCGCGUGAGCGUCCUUUGA
This 229-nucleotide non-coding RNA is filed under the name Companilactobacillus tucceti. RNAcentral describes it as "Lactobacillus tucceti T-box sequence". It matches the Rfam family "T-box leader". Rfam says of the family: Uncharged tRNA acts as the effector for transcription antitermination of genes in the T-box leader family. T-boxes are found upstream of many aminoacyl-tRNA synthetase genes and some amino acid biosynthetic genes usually in Gram-positive bacteria. The record is from RNAcentral. Lineage: Bacteria; Bacillati; Bacillota; Bacilli; Lactobacillales; Lactobacillaceae.